Molecule: unclassified non-coding RNA, 475 nt
Filed under: Hevea brasiliensis (rubber tree)
Lineage: Eukaryota; Viridiplantae; Streptophyta; Magnoliopsida; Malpighiales; Euphorbiaceae
Source: RNAcentral
UUAAUUAAAUUAAUUUCCCCAAAAUUUUAUUACUAUUUUUAUUUUUUUCAAGACCAUGCCACGGAAUUAAUAAUUCAGCUCCAUGCCUCCAAUUACAUCUUACAGUCAUAUAAUUUUUCAUCAUCGGGUUUCCCACGGCCUCAAUGCACAUACUCAUCACAAAAUAAGGGUCUACAGUAUGAUAGAGGUGUGGAUUCAAAUGCCAAGAGUUUACAUUGUGCUAGUGCACAUUCUUCUUAAACAAUACAGCAGCUAGUUGCCAUGAUCCUUCACCGAUGUUUAUCUACUUGUAGUACAUUCUUAUGUAAAUUUUCCUCUUAAUUAUAGAACAAUGCUAGUUCCCUGGUACUAGAACGGCUUAUUUUACCAGUUACAACAUUUUCCAUCAUAUGGGGGUUUUUAUGCUUCUUUGUGCCUGUUUGGCAUUGCAUUUGGAGGGCCAAAACUGUUUUUCUGAACAAAAGCACCAUUUUAG